Molecule: ribosomal RNA, 988 nt
Filed under: Porphyromonas gingivalis
Lineage: Bacteria; Pseudomonadati; Bacteroidota; Bacteroidia; Bacteroidales; Porphyromonadaceae
Description: bacterial SSU rRNA
Rfam family: Bacterial small subunit ribosomal RNA
Source: RNAcentral
GAUGAACGCUAGCGAUAGGCUUAACACAUGCAAGUCGAGGGGCAGCAUGAUCUUAGCUUGCUAAGGUCGAUGGCGACCGGCGCACGGGUGCGUAACGCGUAUGCAACUUGCCUUACAGACGGGGAUAACCCGUUGAAAGACGGACUAAAACCGCAUACACUUGUAUUAUUGCAUGAUAUUACAAGGAAAUAUUUAUAGCUGUAAGAUAGGCAUGCGUCCCAUUAGCUGGUUGGUGAGGUAACGGCUCACCAAGGCGACGAUGGGUAGGGGAACUGAGAGGUUAUCCCCCACACGGUAUGAGACACGGACCAAUACUAACGGGAGGCAGCAGGAGGUAUAGUGGCUAGGGCUAAGCCGAACCAGCCAAGUUGACGUGAAGGAAGACAGUCCUAAGGAUUGUAAACUUCUAUUAUACGGGAAUAACGGGCGAUACGAGUAUUCGCAUUGAAUGUACCGUAAGAAUAAGCAUCGGCUAACUCCGUGCCAGCAGCCGCGGUAAUACGGAGGAUGCGAGACGUUAUCCGGAUUUAUUGGGUUUAAAGGGUGCGUAGGUUGUUCGGUAAGUCAGCGGUGAAACCUGAGCGCUCAACGUUCAGCCUGCCGUUGAAACUGCCGGGCUUGAGUUCAGUGGCGGCAGGCGGAAUUCGUGGUGUAGCGGUGAAAUGCAUAGAUAUCACGAGGAACUCCGAUUGCGAAGGCAGCUUGCCAUACUGCGACUGACACUGAAGCACGAAGGCGUGGGUAUCAAACAGGAUUAGAUACCCUGGUAGUCCACGCAGUAAACGAUGAUCACUAUGGAGUCUGCGAUAUACCGUCAAGCUUCCACAGACGAAAGCGUUAAGUAAUCCACCUGGGGAGUACGCCGGCAACGGUGAAACUCAAAGGACUUGACGGGGGCCCGCACAAGCGGAGGAUAUGUGGUUUAAUUCGAUGAUACGCGAGGAACCUACCCCGGGAUUGAUAUGUAGAUGACGGAUGGUGAAAACCG